GGGAAUUUUGGACAAUGGGCGAAAGCCUGAUCCAGCCAUGCCGCGUGAGUGAAGAAGACCUUCGGGCUGUAAAGCUCUUUUAGUCGGAAAGAAAGAGUUGCAAUGAAUAAUUGUGAUUUAUGACGGUACCGACAGAAAAAGCACCGGCUAACUACGUGCCAGCAGCCGCGGUAAUACGUAGGGUGCGAGCGUUAAUCGGAAUUACUGGGCGUAAAGGGUGCGCAGGCGGUCUUGCAAGUCAGAUGUGAAAGCCCCGGGCUUAACCUGGGAAUUGCGUUUGAAACUACAAGGCUAGAGUGCAGCAGAGGGGAGUGGAAUUCCAUGUGUAGCAGUGAAAUGCGUAGAGAUGUGAAAGAACACCGAUGGCGAAGGCAGCUCCCUGGGUUGACACUGACGCUCAUGCACGAAAGCGUGGGGGGCAAACA
This 425-nucleotide ribosomal RNA is filed under the name uncultured bacterium. Its description in RNAcentral is "bacterial SSU rRNA". It matches the Rfam family "Bacterial small subunit ribosomal RNA", at positions 357 to 774 of the family's 1533-position model. The record is from RNAcentral.